AAAGGAAUAGACGGGGACCCGCACAAGCAGAGGAGGAUGUGGUUUAAUUCGACGCUAAGCGAAGAACCUUACCGAGGCUUGACAUCCCGCGAAGGUCUGGGAAACUAGACUGUGCCUUCGGGAACGCGGUGACAGAUGCUGCAUGGCCGUCGUCAGCUCGUGUCGUGAGAUGUUGGGUUAAGUCCCGCAACGAGCGCAACCCUCGUGAUUAGUUAUAUUUUCUAAUCAGACCGCCCGGGCCAACCGGGAGGAAGGUGGGGAUGACGUCUGGUCAGCAUGGCUCUUACGCCUCGGGCUACACACGUCCUACAAUGGCCACUACAACGCGCUGCCAAACCGUAAGGUGGAGCUAAUCGCAUCAAAAGUGGUCCCAGUUCGGAUUGAGGGCUGAAACUCGCCCUCAUGAAGUCGGAUUUGCUAGUAAUGGCAGGUCAGCUAUACUGCCGUGAAUACGUUCCCGGGUCUUGUACACACCGCCCGU
Molecule: ribosomal RNA, 481 nt
Filed under: uncultured bacterium
Lineage: Bacteria
Description: bacterial SSU rRNA
Rfam family: Bacterial small subunit ribosomal RNA
Source: RNAcentral